This 433-nucleotide ribosomal RNA is filed under the name uncultured archaeon. RNAcentral describes it as "bacterial SSU rRNA". It matches the Rfam family "Archaeal small subunit ribosomal RNA", at positions 474 to 903 of the family's 1478-position model. The record is from RNAcentral.
UACCAGCUCCCUGAGUGGUAAGGACGAUUAUUUGGCCUAAAGCGUCCGUAGCCGGCUUAUCAAGUCUCUUGUUAAACCCAAUGAUUCAAUCAUUGACCUGCAAGAGAUACUGUUAUGCUAGAGGACGGGAGAGGUCGACGGUAGUCCAGGGGUAGGGGUGAAAUCCUAUAAUCCUUGGAGGACCACCAGUGGCGAAGGCGGUACGACUAGAACGUGCCUGACGGUGAGGGACAAAAGCUGGGGGAGCGAACCGGAUUAGAUACCCGGGUAGUCCCAGCUGUAAACGAUGCGGGCUAGGUGUUGGGGUAGCUACGAGCUACUCCAGUGCCGCAGAGAAGUUGUUAAGCCCGCCGCCUGGGGGAGUACGGCGCAAGGCUAGAAACUUAAAGGAAUUGGGCGGGGGAGCACCACGAAGGGGUGAAGGCUGCGGUUU